This 253-nucleotide ribosomal RNA is filed under the name uncultured bacterium. Its description in RNAcentral is "partial 16S ribosomal RNA". It matches the Rfam family "Bacterial small subunit ribosomal RNA", at positions 524 to 776 of the family's 1533-position model. The record is from RNAcentral.
UACGGGGGGGGCAAGCGUUGUUCGGAAUUACUGGGCGUAAAGGGCUCGUAGGCGGCCAACUAAGUCGGAUGUGAAAUCCCCAGGCUCAACCUGGGAACUGCAUCCGAUACUGGAUGGCUUGAAUCCGGGAGAGGGAUGCAGAAUUCCAGGUGUAGCGGUGAAAUGCGUAGAUAUCUGGAGGAAUACCGGUGGCGAAGGCGGCCCCCUGGUUGGAUACUGACGCUGAUACGCGAAAGCGUGGGGAGCAAACAGG